This 493-nucleotide ribosomal RNA is filed under the name uncultured bacterium. Its description in RNAcentral is "partial 16S ribosomal RNA". It matches the Rfam family "Bacterial small subunit ribosomal RNA", at positions 30 to 523 of the family's 1533-position model. The record is from RNAcentral.
AUUGAACGCUGGCGGCAUGCCUUACACAUGCAAGUCGAACGGUAACAGGUUAAGCUGACGAGUGGCGAACGGGUGAGUAAUGUAUCGGAACGUGCCCAGUCGUGGGGGAUAACUGCUCGAAAGAGCAGCUAAUACCGCAUACGACCUGAGGGUGAAAGCGGGGGAUCGCAAGACCUCGCGCGACUGGAGCGGCCGAUAUCAGAUUAGGUAGUUGGUGGGGUAAAGGCCUACCAAGCCGACGAUCUGUAGCUGGUCUGAGAGGACGACCAGCCACACUGGGACUGAGACACGGCCCAGACUCCUACGGGAGGCAGCAGUGGGGAAUUUUGGACAAUGGACGCAAGUCUGAUCCAGCCAUGCCGCGUGCGGGAAGAAGGCCUUCGGGUUGUAAACCGCUUUUGUCAGGGAAGAAACGCUCUGGGUUAAUACCUCGGGGUAAUGACGGUACCUGAAGAAUAAGCACCGGCUAACUACGUGCCAGCCGCCGCCGUAA